RNAcentral lists this ribosomal RNA (465 nucleotides) under uncultured Klebsiella sp. RNAcentral's name for it is "bacterial SSU rRNA". It matches the Rfam family "Bacterial small subunit ribosomal RNA", at positions 338 to 795 of the family's 1533-position model. Lineage: Bacteria; Pseudomonadati; Pseudomonadota; Gammaproteobacteria; Enterobacterales; Enterobacteriaceae. The record is from RNAcentral.
CCUACGGGAGGCUGCAGUGGGGAAUAUUGCACAAUGGGCGCAAGCCUGAUGCAGCCAUGCCGCGUGUGUGAAGAAGGCCUUCGGGUUGUAAAGCACUUUCAGCGGGGAGGAAGGCGUUAAGGUUAAUAACCUUGGCGAUUGACGUUACCCGCAGAAGAAGCACCGGCUAACUCCGUGCCAGCAGCCGCGGUAAUACGGAGGGUGCAAGCGUUAAUCGGAAUUACUGGGCGUAAAGCGCACGCAGGCGGUCUGCCAAGUCGGAUGUGAAAUCCCCGGGCUCAACCUGGGAACUGCAUUCGAAACUGGCAGGCUAGAGUCUUGUAGAGGGGGGUAGAAUUCCAGGUGUAGCGGUGAAAUGCGUAGAGAUCUGGAGGAAUACCGGUGGCGAAGGCGGCCCCCUGGACAAAGACUGACGCUCAGGUGCGAAAGCGUGGGGAGCAAACAGGAUUAGAUACCCCAGUAGUC